UGAGUUGAGAUCACGCCACUGCACUUCAUCCUGGGCGACAGAGUAAGACUGUCUCAAAACGAAAUCUUUUUUAUAGAGUUGGGGUCUCACUCUGUUGCCCAGGCUGGUCUUGAACUCCUGGGCUCAAGUGAUCCUCCUGGGGAUUCCAGGCAUGAGCCACCUUGUCUGAUCAAGGAAAAGGCCCGAUUUUGAAGGGCAGGUCCCAGGGUCAGCCAGGAAAGGGCAGAGCCUCUGAUUGCUGCUUCUCUGCAGGCCCCAAGGCGGCUGCUAGGGUGCACUGGGGGUCUUCCUGCUGCAGGGUAGGGCAGGCCAGAUGGGGCUCAGGCUGUCGGGGUGCUCACACCUGGCGCUUUAGCUAUCGUAGCUGUGGCUGACUGCACAGACAUCACUGAGGCCUUUUUCUGACUUCUACACACUCCCUGUGGCGAUCCUCACUGUGGCUGUCACCGAGAGCCAGUUCCUCAUCCAUGGGAAACCUUUCUAUUUCCACAGUGUCAACAAGCAUGAGGAUGUAGACGUGCACUGGGGCUCCUGGGUCCUCGUAGGGGCUGCUUCUGGUCACCUUCCACUUUUGCCUUCCCUGUGUGCUAUAGCUGAGGGCAGCUCAGGGCAAUGAGCUGCAAACCACCCCACUGUGGAGCUGGUGCUUGGGCUGGAGAGGGGGCUCCUGGUGUGGCUCUCCAGAGUCCUGCCAUUGGAGGAAGUGCAGCUUUGACAGGGACAGGGGUCACUAACUCUGCUGUCCUCUAGAUCCGAGGGAAGGACUUCGACUGUCUGCUGCUGGUGAAGGACUUCGACUGUCUGCUGCUGGUGAAGGACUUCAACCUGCUUUGCUGGCUUGGCACCAAUGCCUUCUGCACUAGCCACUAUCCCUACACAGAGAAGCUACAGAUGUGUGACCGCUCUUCAACAACGUGUCUAUGCAUCACUACAUGUGGGUGAUGGAAGAACUGGUGCACAGAGACAAGAAUCACCCUGCCCUGGUGAUGUGGUCUGACCAACGAGCUUGCGUCCUACCUAGAAUCUGCUGGCUACUACAUCAAGUGAGUGCCGCCAGCCUGUCCUGAGCUGGAUCGGGAAGGAGACCCUGGCAGGUGGCAGACGGGUGGACGUGUGCAGUCCGAGAUUAG
This 1130-nucleotide long non-coding RNA is filed under the name Piliocolobus tephrosceles (Ugandan red Colobus). RNAcentral's name for it is "lncRNA (ENSPTEG00000000351.1)". The record is from RNAcentral. Lineage: Eukaryota; Metazoa; Chordata; Mammalia; Primates; Cercopithecidae.